AUCUUCAGGGUAUACAAACCCUAACAAACUGGCAAUUAAAGGUGGAAGCAAUGGUGGCCUACUUGUUAGAGCUUGCAUUAAUCAGAGGCCCGAUCUAUUCGGAUGUGCACUUGCUCAUGUUGGUGUAAUGGACAUGCUCAGGUUUCACAAGUUCACAAUCGGUCAUGCGUGGACUUCUGACUAUGGUUGUUCAGACAAAGAAGCCAUAUAUGGCUUAUAUAUGGCCCUAGGACCCUACGUCAUCACAAGCCACAUGUUCCUUUAUACUUCUUGUAACUCAUGACAAACAUCUUAUUUGUGUGUCACUAACUACCCAAAAAUUCAAAUUUCUAUAUAGCCACCAACCAAAAGUUCCACUUGUCUUAAUAAAUUAGCUUGAGGUUUUGCCCUCUUUCCCCAGUUCCACUUGUGAACUUAACGUAAUCCCCUGAAGUAACCUUUAUUAGGGGUGGGGGUAGUCUAUCUGAAUACUGAAUAGAGCGUAUUUCA
This is a long non-coding RNA of Lactuca sativa (garden lettuce), 489 nucleotides long. RefSeq lists it as uncharacterized. NCBI's taxonomy places the organism in Eukaryota, Viridiplantae, Streptophyta, Magnoliopsida, Asterales, Asteraceae. The record is from RefSeq and is a predicted model, not a curated record.